RNAcentral lists this ribosomal RNA (253 nucleotides) under uncultured bacterium. Its description in RNAcentral is "partial 16S ribosomal RNA". It matches the Rfam family "Bacterial small subunit ribosomal RNA", at positions 524 to 776 of the family's 1533-position model. The record is from RNAcentral.
UACGAACUGUGCAAACGUUAUUCGGAAUCACUGGGCUUGAAGAGUGCGUAGGCGGUUUCGUAAGUCGGGUGUGAAAGCCCCCGGCUCAACCGGGGAAUUGCGCCCUAAACUGCGAGGCUGGAGUGAGGUAGGGGUGUGUGGAACUUCCAGUGGAGCGGUGAAAUGUGUUGAUAUUGGAAGGAACGCCGGUGGCGAAAGCGACACACUGGACCUUGUCUGACGCUGAGGCACGAAAGCCAGGGGAGCGAACGGG